RNAcentral lists this ribosomal RNA (420 nucleotides) under Triticum aestivum (bread wheat). RNAcentral describes it as "partial small subunit ribosomal RNA". Lineage: Eukaryota; Viridiplantae; Streptophyta; Magnoliopsida; Poales; Poaceae. The record is from RNAcentral.
AUGCCGCAUCAUUUCUGGUCGGCUGAGGGGGCCGAGGAGGUGCUUGGCUGCCGGGUCGAUUGCCUCGACCCCCGAACCCUAGAGCGCGGCCAUACCAAGACCUUUGCCUGCUGGGUCUGGGUGUGGGACACCGCCCCAAUCCCAACGAAGCACACAUUCUGGGUGCUUGACUGUGGGGCUGGCCGUGCGGAGCAGAUGCAUGGCUACUCCCCCCCGGACCGCAUCGUUGCUCCGCCACCCGACGCUCCGCGCCACGACCUCCUCAUCCACAUCGACCUGGUGGAGGACUGGACUCCGUACGAGCUGCGCUCGCCUUCAUCGGGCCAGAGUGGCAUCCCCUCCUCCGACACCGACGACGACGACAGGCCCAUGCCUAGGCUCUACCCCGCCACCUGGUCCAAGGGCGUCGAGGACGGCUAG